RNAcentral lists this ribosomal RNA (492 nucleotides) under uncultured bacterium. Its description in RNAcentral is "partial 16S ribosomal RNA". It matches the Rfam family "Bacterial small subunit ribosomal RNA", at positions 29 to 507 of the family's 1533-position model. The record is from RNAcentral.
AGUGAACGCUGGCGGUAGGCCUAACACAUGCAAGUCGAACGGCAGCACAGUAAGAGCUUGCUCUUACGGGUGGCGAGUGGCGGACGGGUGAGGAAUACAUCGGAAUCUACUUUUUCGUGGGGGAUAACGUAGGGAAACUUACGCUAAUACCGCAUACGACCUACGGGUGAAAGCAGGGGAUCUUCGGACCUUGCGCGAUUGAAUGAGCCGAUGUCGGAUUAGCUAGUUGGUGGGGUAAAGGCCCACCAAGGCGACGAUCCGUAGCUGGUCUGAGAGGAUGAUCAGCCACACUGGAACUGAGACACGGUCCAGACUCCUACGGGAGGCAGCAGUGGGGAAUAUUGGACAAUGGGCGCAAGCCUGAUCCAGCCAUACCGCGUGGGUGAAGAAGGCCUUCGGGUUGUAAAGCCCUUUUGUUGGGAAAGAAAAGCGGCAGGUUAAUACCCCGCUGUUCUGACGGUACCCAAAGAAUAAGCACCGGCUAACUUCGUG